GACGAACGCUGGCGGCGUGCUUAACACAUGCAAGUCGAACGGAAAGACCCUGCUUUUGUGGGGUGCUCGAGUGGCGAACGGGUGAGUAACACGUGAGUAACCUGCCCUUGACUUUGGGAUAACUUCAGGAAACUGGGGCUAAUACCGGAUAGGAGCUCCUACUGCAUGGUAGGGGUUUGAAAGUUUCGUCGGUUGGGGAUGGACUCGCGGCUUAUCUGCUUGUUGGUGGGGUAGUUGCUUACCAAGGCUUUGACGGGUAGCCGGCCUGAGAGGGUGACCGGCCACAUGGGCACUGCGAUACGGCCCAGACUCCUACGGGGGCAGCAGUGGGGAAUAUUGCACAAUGGGCGGAAGCCUGAUGCAGCAACGCCGCGUGCGGGAUGACGGCCUUCGGGUUGUAAACCGCUUUCGCCUGUGACGAAGCGUGAGUGACGGUAAUGGGUAAAGAAGCACCGGCUAACUACGUG
Molecule: ribosomal RNA, 467 nt
Filed under: uncultured bacterium
Lineage: Bacteria
Description: partial 16S ribosomal RNA
Rfam family: Bacterial small subunit ribosomal RNA
Source: RNAcentral